This 496-nucleotide ribosomal RNA is filed under the name uncultured bacterium. RNAcentral's name for it is "partial 16S ribosomal RNA". It matches the Rfam family "Bacterial small subunit ribosomal RNA", at positions 29 to 507 of the family's 1533-position model. The record is from RNAcentral.
AUGAACGCUGGCGGCGUGCCUAAUACAUGCAAGUCGAGCGAACAGACGAGGAGCUUGCUCCUCUGACGUUAGCGGCGGACGGGUGAGCAACACGUGGAUAACCUACCUAUAAGACUGGGAUAACUUCGGGAAACCGGAGCUAAUACCGGAUAAUAUAUUGAACCGCAUGGUUCAAUAGUGAAAGACGGUUUUGCUGUCACUUAUAGAUGGAUCCGCGCCGCAUUAGCUAGUUGGUAAGGUAACGGCUUACCAAGGCGACGAUGCGUAGCCGACCUGAGAGGGGGAACGGACACAAUGGAACUGAGAAACGGUCCAGACUCCUACGGGAGGCAGCAGUAGGGAAUCUUCCGCAAUGGGCGAAAGCCUGACGGAGCAACGCCGCGUGAGUGAUGAAGGUCUUCGGAUCGUAAAACUCUGUUAUUAGGGAAGAACAAAUGUGUAAGUAACUAUGCACGUCUUGACGGUACCUAAUCAGAAAGCCACGGCUAACUACGUG